AGAAAGAUUAAUUAAUUUCACUUUAUUAGGGUUUAGAGCUUAAGGAGAUAUAGGAGAGAGGAGGAGGGGCAUAGCAACGAAGAGGAAAUAAGAGAAAAUAAGAGAAGAAGGCUAAAAAAAAUGUUACUUUAAAAGAGGCACACCUCACAUUGCCUCACCUGGUGCCUCAGUGCCUAAGCCAAAGAGGCACUCGCCUCUUGGGACUA
This 206-nucleotide unclassified non-coding RNA is filed under the name Hevea brasiliensis (rubber tree). The record is from RNAcentral. Lineage: Eukaryota; Viridiplantae; Streptophyta; Magnoliopsida; Malpighiales; Euphorbiaceae.